GCAAGUCGAACGGAACAACAGCUUGCUGUUGUUUAGUGGCGGAAGGGUUAGUAAUACAUGGGUAAUCUACCUUUAACUUGGGAAUAACGGUUGGAAACGACCGCUAAUACCGAAUGUGGUAUGUCGAGGUAUCUCGUACAUAUUAAAGCAGGGGAUCUUCGGGCCUUGCGGUUAUUGAAGAGCCCAUGCGAUAUCAGCUUGUUGGUGAGGUAAGAGCUCACCAAGGCUAAGACGUCUAGGCGGACUGAGAGGUCGAUCGCCAACACUGGGACUGAGACACUGCCCAGACUCCUACGGGAGGCUGCAGUCGAGAAUCUUUCGCAAUGGGCGCAAGCCUGACGAAGCGACGCCGUGUGAACGAUGAAGGCCUUAGGGUUGUAAAGUUCUUUCGCCAGGGAAUAAGAGAUGGUGGUUAAUAUCCGCCAAAUUUGAGGGUACCCGGUAAAGAAGCACCGGCUAACUCCGUGCCAGCAGCUGCGGUAAUACGGAGGGUGCAAGCAUUAAUCGGAUUUAUUGGGUGUAAAGGGCGUCUAGGCGGAAAGGAAAGUUGGGUGUUAAAGCUUGAGGCUCAACCUCAAAUCGGCACCCAAUACUAUCUUUCUAGAGGGUAGAUGGAGAAAGUAGAAUUCCAUGUGUAGCGGUGAAAUGCGUAGAUAUAUGGAAGAAUACCGGUGGCGAAGGCGACUUUCUAGCUUAUUCCUGACGCUAAAGCGCGAAAGCAAGGGGAGCGAACAGGAUUAGAUACCCUGGUAGUCCUUGCCGUAAACGAUGCACACUAGAUGUAGAUGGAUUCAACCCCGUCUUUGUCGUAGCUAACGCGUUAAGUGUGCCGCCUGGGGAGUACGCUCGCAAGGGUGAAACUCAAAAGAAUUGACGGGGACCCGCACAAGCAGUGGAGCAUGUGGUUUAAUUCGAUGCAACGCGAAGAACCUUACCCAGACUUGACAUAUACCGGACCGCCGUAGAGAUGUCGCUUUCCGAAAGGACGGAUACACAGGUGCUGCAUGGCUGUCGUCAGCUCGUGCCGUGCGGUGUUGGGUUAAGUCCCGCAACGAGCGCAACCCUUAUCACUAGUUGCCAGCACUUAGGGUGGGAACUCUAGUGAGACUGCCUGGGUUAACCAGGAGGAAGGUGAGGAUGACGUCAAGUCCGCAUGGCCCUUAUGCCUAGGGCUACACACGUGCUACAAUGGUCGGUACAGAAGGUAGCAAAGCCGCGAGGUGGAGCAAAUCCCCAAAGCCGGCCUCAGUUCGGAUUGUAGUCUGCAACUCGACUACAUGAAGUUGGAAUUGCUAGUAAUGGCGCGUCAGCAACAGCGCCGUGAAUACGUUCCCGGGCCUUGUACACACCGCCCGUCACAUCAUGGGAGUUGGUUUUACCUUAAGUCGUUGACUUAACCUUAUUUUAAGGAGAGAGGCGCCCAAGGUGAGGCUGAUGACUGGG
Molecule: ribosomal RNA, 1443 nt
Filed under: uncultured prokaryote
Description: partial 16S ribosomal RNA
Rfam family: Bacterial small subunit ribosomal RNA
Source: RNAcentral